This 447-nucleotide ribosomal RNA is filed under the name uncultured bacterium. RNAcentral describes it as "SSU rRNA". It matches the Rfam family "Bacterial small subunit ribosomal RNA", at positions 26 to 518 of the family's 1533-position model. The record is from RNAcentral.
AGAGCGAACGCUGGCGGCAGGCCUAAUACAUGCAAGUCGAACGGAUCCUUCGGGAUUAGUGGCGGACGGGUGAGUAACACGUGGGAACGUGCCCUUUGGUUCGGAACAACUCAGGGAAACUUGAGCUAAUACCGGAUGUGCCCUUCGGGGGAAAGAUUUAUCGCCAUUGGAGCGGCCCGCGUCUGAUUAGCUAGUUGGUGAGGUAAAGGCUCACCAAGGCUACGAUCAGUAGCUGGUCUGAGAGGAUGAUCAGCCACACUGGGACUGAGACACGGCCCAGACUCCUACGGGAGGCAGCAGUAGGGAAUCUUGCGCAAUGGGCGAAAGCCUGACGCAGCCAUGCCGCGUGAAUGAUGAAGGUCUUAGGAUUGUAAAAUUCUUUCAGCGGGGACGAUAAUGACGGUACCCGCAGAAGAACGCCCCGGCUAACUUCGUGCCAGCAGCCGC